CAGCAGCCGCGGGAAUACGUAGGUGGCAAGCGUUGUCCGGAAUUAUUGGGCGUAAAGCGCGCGCAGGUGGUUUAAUAAGUCUGAUGUGAAAGCCCACGGCUCAACCGUGGAGGGUCAUUGGAAACUGUUAAACUUGAGUGCAGGAGAGAAAAGUGGAAUUCCUAGUGUAGCGGUGAAAUGCGUAGAGAUUAGGAGGAACACCAGUGGCGAAGGCGGCUUUUUGGCCUGUAACUGACACUGAGGCGCGAAAGCGUGGGGAGCAAACAGGAUUAGAUACCCGUGUAGUCCCUGUCUCUUAUAC
Molecule: ribosomal RNA, 301 nt
Filed under: uncultured bacterium
Lineage: Bacteria
Description: partial 16S ribosomal RNA
Rfam family: Bacterial small subunit ribosomal RNA
Source: RNAcentral